Molecule: ribosomal RNA, 253 nt
Filed under: uncultured bacterium
Lineage: Bacteria
Description: partial 16S ribosomal RNA
Rfam family: Bacterial small subunit ribosomal RNA
Source: RNAcentral
UACAGAGGUCCCAAGCGUUGUUCGGAUUCACUGGGCGUAAAGGGCUCGUAGGUGGCCAACUAAGUCAGACGUGAAAUCCCUCGGCUUAACCGGGGAACUGCGUCUGAUACUGGAUGGCUAGAGUUUGGGAGAGGGAUGCGGAAUUCCAGGUGUAGCGGUGAAAUGCGUAGAUAUCUGGAGGAACACCGGUGGCGAAGGCGGCAUCCUGGACCAACACUGACGCUGAGGAGCGAAAGCCAGGGGAGCAAACGGG